Molecule: small RNA, 28 nt
Filed under: Bombyx mori (domestic silkworm)
Lineage: Eukaryota; Metazoa; Arthropoda; Insecta; Lepidoptera; Bombycidae
Description: ovarian small RNA-3357
Source: RNAcentral
UCCCUAGUGCGCGGCGAUGGGAGACGUG